RNAcentral lists this ribosomal RNA (492 nucleotides) under uncultured bacterium. RNAcentral describes it as "partial 16S ribosomal RNA". It matches the Rfam family "Bacterial small subunit ribosomal RNA", at positions 29 to 507 of the family's 1533-position model. The record is from RNAcentral.
AGUGAACGCUGGCGGUAGGCCUAACACAUGCAAGUCGAACGGCAGCACAGUAAGAGCUUGCUCUUACGGGUGGCGAGUGGCGGACGGGUGAGGAAUACAUCGGAAUCUACUUUUUCGUGGGGGAUAACGUAGGGAAACUUACGCUAAUACCGCAUACGACCUACGGGUGAAAGCAGGGGAUCUUCGGACCUUGCGCGAUUGAAUGAGCCGAUGUCGGAUUAGCUAGUUGGCGGGGUAAAGGCCCACCAAGGCGACGGUCCGUAGCUGGUCUGAGAGGAUGGUCGGCCACACUGGAGCUGAGACACGGUCCAGACUCCUACGGGAGGCAGCAGUGGGGUAUGUUGGACAAUGGGCGCAAGCCUGAUCCAGCCAUACCGCGUGGGUUAAGAAGGCCUUCGGGUUGUAAAGCCCUUUUGUUGGGAAAGAAAAGCAGCAGGUUAAUACCCCGCUGUUCUGACGGUACCCAAAGAAUAAGCACCGGCUAACUUCGUG